Molecule: unclassified non-coding RNA, 329 nt
Filed under: soil metagenome
Description: partial contains 5.8S ribosomal RNA, internal transcribed spacer 2, and large subunit ribosomal RNA
Rfam family: 5.8S ribosomal RNA (bases 1-120)
Source: RNAcentral
GAUGAAGAACGUAGCGAAAUGCGAUACGUAAUGUGAAUUGCAGAAUUCAGUGAAUCAUCGAGUCUUUGAACGCACAUUGCGCCCCUUGGUAUUCCGGGGGGCAUGCCUCUUCCAGCGUCAUUUCACCCCUCAAGCUCUGCUUGGUUUUGGGCCGCGCCGGCAACGGCGGGCCUCGAAAAUAGUGGCGACGCCAUCGUGCUCUCAGCGUAGUAAUUCUUCUCGCUGUUGGGUCCCGGUGGUCGUCCGCCAGCAACCCCCAACUUUCUUAAGUUUGACCUGGGAUGAGGUAGGGAUACCCGCUGAACUUAAGCAUAUCAAUAAGCGGAGGA